UUACAUACCUGGAUGGGGUCAAUGGACGAUCAAGUAGGUCCAUGGCCUAGGUCAGUGGUUUUCAUUGCACUUGGAACGCCUCUGCUCUAAGGUCUACAAAAUUGUAGAACCUACAUCGUAAUUUGUGAGUGUGGGCCUGCGAUUCACGCGGCCCUUA
Non-coding RNA from Vigna angularis (adzuki bean), 157 nucleotides. The record is from Rfam. Lineage: Eukaryota; Viridiplantae; Streptophyta; Magnoliopsida; Fabales; Fabaceae.